AACGAACGCUGGCGGCAGGCCUAACACAUGCAAGUCGAGCGAAUCCUUCGGGGUUAGCGGCGGACGGGUCAGUAACGCGUGGGAACGUGCCCAAAGGUACGGAAUAGCCCCGGGAAACUGGGAGUAAUACCGUAUGUGCUCUACGGAGGAAAGAUUUAUCGCCUUUGGAUCGGCCCGCGUUGGAUUAGGUAGUUGGUGGGUAAUGCCACCAAGCCGACGAUCCAUAGCUGGUUUGAGAGGAUGAUCAGCAACACUGGGACUGAGACACGGCCCAGACUCCUACGGGAGGCAGCAGUGGGGAAUCUUAGACAAUGGGGGAAACCCUGAUCUAGCCAUGCCGCGUGAAGCGAUGAAGGCCCUUAGGG
Molecule: ribosomal RNA, 365 nt
Filed under: uncultured bacterium
Lineage: Bacteria
Description: bacterial SSU rRNA
Rfam family: Bacterial small subunit ribosomal RNA
Source: RNAcentral